Long non-coding RNA from Triticum aestivum (bread wheat), 3915 nucleotides. RefSeq lists it as uncharacterized. Lineage: Eukaryota; Viridiplantae; Streptophyta; Magnoliopsida; Poales; Poaceae. The record is from RefSeq and is a predicted model, not a curated record. The transcript is spliced from 4 exons.
CUGUGAGCGUGUCUUCUCAACGGGCUAGCGACUCGGCGCAGCUCUGAAGAGUGGAGAUUGGCGAUUUGGGGUGCUGGAUACGCCUCGGUUCCAAGCUGUGGCUAGAGGAUCCCCGCCGUCGUGUUGUUCCGGCUGUCGGUGCUACUUCCGCGGCUGCUCCUUGGGCGCUGCUUCGCUGUCCACGCGAAUUGUGCCGUUGCUGUUCUGGUCAUCCAUCUCGCCCUGCGUCUGCUCGGCCUGCUGCUUUGCCCUGCGUGCGAUCUGAUGGAAUGCAUUCAACAUACAUGGUGGAAGAGAGUUGCCCCCAGGCCCCCAGUACUGAACCACGACGUCCACAAUAAGGAGAUGGAGAUCAUCGUCCCAGGGGGUUGAUGAUAUAUCUAUGGAUAUUAUGUUGACUGAUAGCCCAUGGUUCAUCUGAGCUCACUUUGGCGCGAAUGCGGUGAUGAAGGAGAAAAAAGGAAAAAGUUGAUACGGUUUUCCUUGCAGCUCAAUUUUCACACCCUUCCCAGGUUAAUAUUCACUGCUUUCUUUGGACCAACUUUAUGCUGCCUUUUCUCUGCACACACCUCAUCAAAACUGAACCAAGAGGCAUCACAUAGGUUUAGAUGGCGCGUGUGAACAUGGUUUAAGAUAUGAUAUUUCUUGGAGAGAGCAAACUAACCCUUUCAAUUUCACGAUCUAUUAACUAAAAUAUUGAUCGACGGCACAUUCUGAUGCUUCAACUUUGUUUUUGCCUUAUUGUCACUUAAUUAGGUAAUAUAGUAAGAAAGAAUACUGAAUGAGACUCGAAGGAAUUUUGAUGUCAACUCGUGAUUAGCAGAACUUAAAAUGAUCUCUUUAGACAAGUAUCAGAUUAAAGAAACCAAUAUAGAACCUUAUUAAAUAGGGACUUAGCUGGAAGGUGAGAAAGAAAUUACAAUUGCUAUUGGUGCAACAAUACAAAAUUUAGCUUAGCUAUCUAUCAGAUUUCUUGACUCAAAUUCCAGCUAGCAAAGACGAAGAUUGAAUCCCCAAAAAUCCAUGCUAAACCAAAUAUAGACUUGUUGAUUUACCUCAAUUGAAUUAUUUAUAAAACAUUAUACAUGAACUUGUUUUAAAUACAUGACAAAAUCUAGCUGAGCUAAACCUUCCUGGAAUCUUAUGUGGAUUUUUAGAGUUUAGACCAAGGAGAAAUGGGGAAAUAAUUCGGGACAGAGGGUAGUGCACACGGGAGCCUCAGAAUAGCGGGUAGCCUAGCGAUGUUUAUAGGAAAAAGGUGGCUUUUGUCUCAUCAGUGAGUUUGUUGCCCAAUGCCCGUGCUACUGAUAUAAUGUCGUUCAUGACAUACCUCGCCCAGUUCAAAUUCGGGAUGUCAUCCAAAUUUUAUGAGAGCCACAAAAUAUGUUGGAAGAAUAACUACGGAUCAAAUGGACCUCGAACUUUAUCUCACCGUGAACACCACAUCAAUCACAUUCUAACAGGAGGCCUCAGCCAUCGCCAAGGCAUCUCAUGGAACAUGGGGGAAACUCCAAAUCGAACAGAGCAACACAAAAAUAGGAAUCAGGCAUGAGGAAAGGGGAAUAAGCUAACCUGGGUAAUGGGAUCAGCAGGCCCAGGAGGGUGCCACCAUGCCAGUGGCCUCCACAAGAAUAAUCUUGCACACGAUGUCGCCUCAAGCAAUGGAUCGCCAACACCAGAACCGAAGCACUUGUUGUUCAUGGUUUCAGUUAUGAGAUAUCCCGUGAACUGAGGUACAAAUCACAAAUAGGUCAGCUCAUGAGCUAAAGAAUAUAAUCUUAUCCAAGAAAAGAUAAAAUAGUUCGCAGCAACAAAGCUUUAUUAAGUUCUUUACUAAGAAAGCUAACUUAGAAAUUACAGCCCAAACAGAGAAUAAAUGGUUUAGAACAGGCAUAAAUCUGAUCCAUCUUCCAUCAUCAAUAAUAAAAACAGGAAAUCUUGAAAUCCUUGAUCCAAACAUCAUAAGUCACAAAAGUCGAAGCAAACAGUGAACUGAAAAUUACUCUGAAAAAAACUUUUCUUUUGUUGACUCUAAACGAAGCCCAUGCCCUGUUACUCCAUUCUUUUGUUGACUCUAAAUGAAGCGUGAUUUAUAUGUUCGAUUACAGCCAUGACUUGGCGAUAUUCUAAAGAAUAUAACUAUAAGACCAGAGAUAGAAAACUAACAGAGAAUGCUGAGAAUAGAGAACACCUGUAAUAUAGUAAUGGUACAAAAAUUUGGUCGUAAGGUUGUGUGUGGCCGACAAGGGUGGCUCAGGGAGCGCACCAUGCAGCAGCGUGCGAGCGCUGCGGAAGAUGGGGAUGGGAGGGAGGCGUUUGCGUGCGCAUUUGGUGAUCAAAUGGCUCAGGAGGGGACCGAUCUUGGGAUAGGAUCAGUCAACCAACAUGUAGUAGUGACCUGACCGGAAAGGUAGGAUUUGCAUGAGCAGGUCAACAGAGAAUUAUAAUGUCAGCAUAUAGCAAUAAAACCAAUGAGCACUAUCAAGUUACCAAAAAGAGGGCGUUUACCGACAGCUUACCGUUAAUUUGCAGUCGUACCACUCAGUUAAAAUUAAGAAUAACCACACCUCAUUCAAUUAUGAUUCAAACAACAUGAACAAUUAUCCGUGAAGUUCAUUUCUAAACUACGCGCUUAUUAAGAUAGGUGUUUACCGGUAAUAGGGUAAAAUGAUACAUAAGUUUUAACUUCAGGAUAGGUAUUUACUGUAUUUUUCAGAGAUGGACAUGCGGGUCACCCCAUUAACUCAACAAGUAGAUAUAUUAGCUAGCUAUUGGUGUUCUCAGAAACCAUAAAUAGUUUAAACCGAAUUAUGUGUGCUUGUGCAGAUAGUAUAGAUGUAUGAUGGAUUCCUAGUUGCCGUGAUCAAUGAUCAAGGAGAUGCUUCUACAUGCAUACGCAUAGAACUAAGCAUUCAUUCUUCUCCUUGAUUCUAUUCUCCUGUUAAGCUCUCAAAUUUCUACACAUUUAUGAUAGAAAAAUGUGAUACUACAACUGCAGUUUAUAUUGCUGUAUUUAUAUGCUUCCAUACACAUGCUAUGAAGCACGAAACAUGACAAGGAAAAUACAAAGGAUAGCCUAAAGCAAAACAAUGGGGUUAACUAAAAUUUACCUAUUCUAAACUUGUUUCUUUCUGAACAGAGCAUCAACUCAAACCACAUAUAGCAGUGAAGCAACAAUGAUAUUUUCUCUAAAAAUCCAACACAGUGCCACAGACAGCACACAACACACUUAAGUACAAAAAAUCAUCAUUUUCCUUUGAAAGGGAGGGCGUUGGUUGGGUAAUGUGUACCAAAAAAUCAUGCCAAAUUUGAACGAAAGCCUGGGCAACCACUGAGACAUAAAGGAGUCAGAGGGGAGGUAAGGAGGAUUGGGAGUAGGUCAUCUAUGCAAGGAAGAUCACGGGGACCAAAAUCCUACAUGAGACUGAAAUGGAAAGGUUGCCCAAGGCAGACAAGAAUCAUCGGAAUCAUUUUCGAAUCUAAAAAUGGAAUAUAGACAGCAGUGACGAUAGUAGUAGAUGCAGAAUUAUGCUUAAGAGCACAACUGAAAUCUAUAUAACCGUCGUAUUCAUGUGCAGACAUAUCUUCAUCACAUCAUCGUUUUCCAAGUAUAGUUAAUAAGAAAUCCGAUUCACAUAUGUCCUGGUCAUCCCAUUUAUGCUGAAUAUAUUCAAGGCACUUCUGUAACAAUUUUUUUUAAAUACCCACUGUUAUCUAAUAUCUAGUAAACUGGGUACAAAAGACGGAGGCAAGAAGCCCAUGUUCUCUCAGAUCGAGUAUAUCCCUGUCCUGAAUGGUGUAUCCAAGGUUCCCCAUGUCAUGUUUAAGUACGAAUCACUUGUUUAUUGUGACAUGGACCACUGAUAUCUGAAAUAUAUGAAAAGACCCAUCAGGGCCCAGGAAAAAUAUGCCCUC